Molecule: long non-coding RNA, 807 nt
Organism: Gasterosteus aculeatus aculeatus (three-spined stickleback)
Lineage: Eukaryota; Metazoa; Chordata; Actinopteri; Perciformes; Gasterosteidae
Source: Ensembl
UGUGGGGGGGGAGGAGUGAGGAGAGAGGAGUGGGAUGCAAGACGGCGAAUAAAGGAGGCUCAGGAGGGAUGAUGGCAGACGAGGAAGAGGCAAAGUCUGCUCCCAUCAAUCUCUGACUGCAUGAUGCUCCCGUCCUAAGAAGAAACGAGCUCUUCAGUUCUCACAUGACAAAGCACAGAUUGAGCUUGGUGAAGACAAAGGCUGCUCGUGAAUGGUCGAGUUUCCAUACUACAAAAGUAUGUUUUUUUGUGCCCCUCCCUCCUCUUCUACAUGCAGGACCUGCAUCCUGUAAUUAGCGCCGGCCAAGACGACAUGUGAUGGGUUUCAAAGAAAUACCAACAAGCCACAGCGUUAUUUUUAAGUACACCAGAAUGAAUAUGUAUUACACUGCGCCAUGGAGAUAGGUCUGCCUGUGGGAGCAGAGAUAACGUCUAAUAAUGUCUCCGAAGGGUUUAUAUUGGAGUUUCGGUAGGUGCUGUUAGCUGCAAAUGCUCACGAAACAGCGCUGGAAUUGAUUGUAUUGUAUGAAUUUUGUAAAUAGUCAAUGGACUUGUAUUUGUAUAUUCCCUUUCACCCGUUUACGCAUUCAUACACUGAUGGCAGAGGCUCCCAUGCAGGGUGCCAUCUGCCCAUGAGGACCCCAAACUAACUCAUUCAUAUUCAUAUAUCCAGAGCACUGCCAAGGACACUAACACCUGUCUCUACAUACUUUGGGGCAGUUUUAUGAAGUUCAGAAGAGAUGCUGUCAUGAAAGUAUUUUAAUUUCAAUUGUUGUUUUCUAAUUAAAUGUCCAAAAUUCGCAAUCAA